Long non-coding RNA from Drosophila mojavensis, 2668 nucleotides. RefSeq lists it as uncharacterized. The record is from RefSeq and is a predicted model, not a curated record. The transcript is spliced from 2 exons. Lineage: Eukaryota; Metazoa; Arthropoda; Insecta; Diptera; Drosophilidae.
UGUUGUGGUAAAGGCGACCUUCCGGUUAUGGCUGACGAUGACGACGACGACGGCGACGACGACGAAUCGCAAAUACGAGUCAACGAGCAACAACGAACACUUGUUCGGCUCAGCAACGAUGACGGCGACCUUCCUAUGGUCGGUCACUUGCUCUUUUUUUUCUCUCUCUCUCUGUCUCUCUCUCUUUGGUAGCCUCUCACAACUUAGCGGAAAAUGUCGGUAAACAGUGCAACCGGUUUUCAAUUACGCACAUAUAGCAGUGGGGGCCAUGCACAGUGAUACAAACAUUCACUAAUUAUCGAAUGCAAUAUUUUCGUUGGUUUUAGCGGCAAUUUAAUUGAAUUAAAUUUCAUUUGAUUUAAAUCUAUUUGUUCCUCAGCUUCUUUGUACUAAAUUAAAUAUCAAUAUUAACUAUAUAUUACGCUCGUAAAGCCCCUGAAGUUCUAUGUUAAUUUGAAUAUUUGAAUAUAUAAUAAACAUCACCAUUCUAUUUUCUAGAGCCCUGUUCAAUAUCGAAUUACAUCUAUAAAUUAUGUCAUAUAUUAUACCCUUUUAAACCAGUAAUAUUUCUGAAGAUGUAGAUUAAUUUUCAUAUUUAGUCAAUAUAUAAUUUACAUAACUAUUACGUUUGUGUCACCAUUGCUUGUUUAAUAGCUAAUCUAAUCAAUGGUCAGUCACAUAUAUUUCAGAUAUCAGGCAUUAAAUACCAAAAAUUAUUUUAGUUUGUAUCAUUUUAAUUUUGGAAUUUAGGUAAAAUAUAGAAUUUCCCAUUCAAAAUUUAAUCUAAUAAAAACAAUAUUAAGCAAUCACAAUUUCGAUUUGAAGAAAUUCAAGCAAAUAAUGUUUAAUCUGGUCCCACUGUCGUGUACUACUACUACUGCGAGAGCGUGAAAAAGCUUUACUCGCUGACUCAAAAGUGCGCUCCCACAUUGUGCUGCAGCGUCGUCGCUCGUUUCGUUUUACUAGGCUAAUCAUCUGUUCUGGUUUCGGAUUUGUGCUGUCUCCCGUUGCGCGCUGUAUGCCUGUGUGUGUGUGCGUGUGGCUGUGUGCAUGGGAGUUGUUGGUGUUGCUGUUUGAGCAUUCGCAUUCAUUCAACGACAGCGCCGCCGAUGACGACGCCACCGCCACCGACACUGAUUUGAGAGCUUUGCAAUUUUGUCGGCCGCUCUUGUCGUUGUUUUUCUUCGGGUUUCGGUAUUUUUUUUUUUUCAUGCUUGGUGUGUGAGUUUGUCUGUGUUUAUGUGUUUCUGUGCUGGUGUGUGUAAGAAAUAUUUCACACGCUGCUUUGGCUGGGCAAGCAAAGCACUUGACUGUUGAGUGGCGGUUGCUGUUGUUGCUGCCCGCUCGCUGCCUGCUCUCGGCGGGCUGUUGUUGGAAUAUUGUUGACUGCCUGCUGUUGGGGUUCGUUGCCGUUGGUUGUGUUAUCAUUUCAGUUGCUGGCUGGCUGGCUGCAUGGCUUGUCGCUUGCACGCGCAGCUCCGGGACUCCACCGAUUAUUGGGUGUGUGUGUAUGUCUGGCCCGAGUCUGGGGCGGCGACAGCGGCAACGACAACGUCGGCGAUUGUAAUCGGUUUCAGUUCAUUUUCAUUUAAAUGGAAUUAAAUAUGCUCAUCGUUAACAGCUGCUCUUAACAUUUAUUUUUGCACAGUUGAAAAUUGAAAUGCUUAACAAGUAAGUCGAAAGUGCUCUUUAAUGGAGACCAAUUCGACGCUUAUAAUAAUAAAGCAGUGCGCAACACAAUAUUUGCCUACACACGGUUUAUGAGCACAAUUUUGUUGUGCGGCGCGUAUGCCAACUGCUGGGUGCUGAGAAAAGGCGAGCAGGCAAACUCUACCGCAAUAAACGAAAUGCGAAUAACCACCACAGCUAGUCUGAGCUACCCCGCUGAGCGGAACAACCGAGCAGAAUCAGCAAUAGACUAAGGUGGAAUACAAAUGGCGAAUUCACAUACACAUACAUGUGUACGAAUGCUGAGUAUAAGUAUGUACAUAUGUGUAUGUGGGCAAAUUGCGACACAUUUUAAAGCACAACAAAAAUUUGUCAUAGCCAUAGUACAUACAAACACAUGUAUGUCUGUGGGAAUAAUUAAACCUUUGAUAUUUACAAUGAAUUCGAAUCAUUUUCAAUUAAAUAUGCAUUUGUUUAGUUAACUUGUAUUGCUUUUGACAGUAAUCCAGAUUAUGCUCUAAAUUACGCUUUAACUGUAAUUAUAUUUAAAGCUUCACGCAUAUAAAAAACAGCAAAGUAAAUAUACAUACAUACAUACAUAUGUAUGUACAUGUGUACAAAGUUUAGUUUUUCUGUGUCAAAUGCUAAUUUCGUAUGCAGAAAAAAAAAUAUAUAGACAUACAUAUAUAUGUAUAUAUAUAUAACAUUUCUAUCUAAAAUAGACUAAAGCACUAUAUUUAAGCUUAGCUGAAUUUAAAUACCAUGGGAAAAUACGUUAUGCAUACACAUGUAGGCAUGUAUGUACACAGACUCUGUAAGUAUGUGUAUAUGGUAAUGAAUUUACAUACAUUAUUAUAUAAACAUAUGUAAAUUUAACAUAAAGUCUUGCGGUUUACACACUUGGCCAAUCUUUUGCUGUACACACAUCAAAACUAAGCUUCACAUUACAAAUUAGCGCCCCCAAGCGGCCUGUAAAACAAUAAACAACCGCAGACCCGCA